AUCGAAUUAUAACUUUAAAAUCUAGAAUUCUCUCUUAUUAAUGAUUCGGAAAUAAAAAAAACUUGGUUAUGUUAUUAUUCUUCGUUGGUUCGUUUAAUGGAAAACACUUUGCUACAAGAAAUAAUGGAAAUUUUAUAACGAAUUUAAUAAAAUGUUUUUAUCAUUAUAUAUAAAGAAUUAAUGGCAAGAAAAAGUUAUAUACAACCUCAACUCAUAUGGGACUACCCCCUGAAUUUAAGCAUAUUAAUUAGGGGAGGAAAAGAAACUAACAAGGAUUUUCUUAGUAGCGGCGAGCGAAAAGAAAACAGUUUAGCACUAAGUCACUUUGUCUAUAUGGCAAAUGUGAGAUGCAGUGUAUUUAGCGUCAAUAUUCUAGUAUGAGAAAUUAACGAUUUAAUGAGGCCAUUUACCCAUAGAGGGUGCCAGGCCCGUAUAACGUUAAUGAUUACUAGAUGAUGUUUCCAAAGAGUCGUGUUGCUUGAUAGUGCAGCACUAAGUGGGUGGUAAACUCCAUCUAAAACUAAAUAUAACAAUGAGACCGAUAGUAAACAAGUACCGUGAGGGAAAGUUGAAAAGAACUCUGAAUAGAGAGUUAAACAGUACGUGAGACUGCUUAGAGUUUAAGCCCGAUGAACCUGAAUAUCCGUUAUGGAAAAUUCAUCAUUAAAAUUGUAUUAUUUAAAUAAUAUUAUGAGGAUAGUGUGCAUUUUUUCCAUAUAAGGACAUUGUAAUCUAUUAGCAUAUACAAAAUGUAUCAUAAAAUAUAACUUAUAGUUAUAAUUUUAUAAUGGCAUAAUUAUCAUUGAUUUUUGUGUUUAUUAUAUGCCCUUGUAUGAUUAACAAUGCGAAAGAUUCAGGAUACCUUCGGGACCCGUCUUGAAACACGGACCAAGGAGUCUAACAUAUGUUCAAGUUAUUAGGAUAUAAACCUAAUAGCGUAACUUGACUAAUAAUGGGAUUAGUUUUUUAACUAUUUAUAGGUAAUUAAUACAAUUAUGUAUAAUGUAUAUUUAUAUUAUUUAUGCCUCUAACUGGAACGUACCUUGAGCAUAUAUGCUGUGACCCGAAAGAUGAUGAACUAUACUUGAUCAGGUUGAAGUCAGGGGAAACUCUGAUGGAAGACCGAAACAGUUCUUGCAAAUCAAUUGUCAGAAUUGAGUAUAGGGGCGAAAGACCAAUCAAACCAUCUAGUAGCUGGUUCCUUCCGAAGUUUCCCUCAGGAUAGCUGGUGCAUUUUAAUAUUAUAGAAAAUAAUCUUAUCUGGUAAAGCGAAUGAUUAAAGGCCUUAGGGUCGAAACGAUCUUAUCCUAUUCUCAAACUUUAAAUGGGUAAGAACCUUAACUUUCUUAAUAUGAAGUUCAAGGUUAUGAUAUAAUGUGCCCAGUGGGCCACUUUUGGUAAGCAGAACAGGCGCUGUGGGAUGAACCAAACGUAAUGUUACGGUGCCCAAAUUAACAACUCAUGCAGAUACCAUGAAAGGCGUUGGUUGCUUAAAGCAACAGGACGGUGAUCAUGGAAGUCGAAAUCCGCUAAGGAGUGUGUAACAACUCACCUGCCGAAGCAACUAGCCCUUAAAAUGGAUGGCGCUUAAGUUGUAUACCUAUACAUUACCGCUAAAGUAGAUGAUUUAUAUUACUUGUGAUAUAAAUUUUGGAACUUUAGAGAGUAGGAAGGUACAAUGACGCGCAUGAAUGGAUUAACGAGAUUGCUACUGUCCCUAUCUACUUACUUGUGGCAGAGCUUUUUCGCCGGCCGAAGAGCAGUAAUCCGAAGCAGUUCCGGUGCAGUGAAUGUGCCGGUAACUAGAGGUUGCCCGCAGGGGUCA
RNAcentral lists this ribosomal RNA (1825 nucleotides) under Drosophila erecta. Its description in RNAcentral is "eukaryotic LSU rRNA". The stretch from base 202 to 1825 matches the Rfam family "Eukaryotic large subunit ribosomal RNA", at positions 1 to 1438 of the family's 3401-position model. Lineage: Eukaryota; Metazoa; Arthropoda; Insecta; Diptera; Drosophilidae. The record is from RNAcentral.